This 1899-nucleotide long non-coding RNA is filed under the name Arabidopsis lyrata. RNAcentral describes it as "long non-coding RNA (ALYR_LNC002086)". Lineage: Eukaryota; Viridiplantae; Streptophyta; Magnoliopsida; Brassicales; Brassicaceae. The record is from RNAcentral.
AUUUUAACUCUCUGUCUAUUUUCAUGUCUAUGUUUUUUGCUUGUAGGUACUUCAUCCAUCAGUCGGAGCUUCUUCUAUCAGUGUUGUACAUGGAAUAGAGCAGGAUGCUCAUUUGUAUAUGUUUUAGGAAGGGCACAUACAUAUUUAGGAUGACUUUCCUAAAACAUAUUCAGGAUGCUCAUUUGUAAGAUAUUCACGAAUGAGAAGCUUUGUUUACUGGUUAUAUGUUUUGUUACAAUAACAAUAGGUCUUGCGUUCAAGUAGUGGUUGAACAUUUUGUCCAAUCUUCAGAUUUCAUUUUGUAACCUUUACCUAGAAGCUCGACCAGCAGACUUAGUUCUGGAUCAUCUUCGUCUUCCAAUGAAACUUUAUCUUCAGGAUCAUCAGGUUUUGAAGGUGAGAUGCAAAAUACAUUCAGCUGCACAAAAACAAACACAUUCAGCAGACUUAAUACAUUCAAUUACAUAUUUUAGGAAGGCCAUCCCGAAUUACUAUAAAUCCUUCCCAAAUUAGGAAGGUCAUCCCGAAUUACUAUAAAUCAUUCCCAAAUCAGGAAGGCCAUCCCGAAUUACUAUAAAUCUUUCCCAAAACUAGUUUAAACCAUAAAAAGAAGAGACUGAUUUUACAUGAUUAGAUGCUUCAAUAUUCAGUAUCUGAGAAAGUUGCGGUGAUGGUAAGCUCGUGUAUUUCUCACACAAGAAUGCAGUCGGCUUCUCUAUUAAACUGAUUCGGCUGUAGGCUGUUUGUAGCAGCAGAAAAAAACUAAAUCUAGUAGAUAAGUUCCACAGAUUCAUAAGAACAUCCGCCAUUUGAAACAUCAACCCCAAAUUCAUAUAUACAUAAAGAUUAUAAACUGCAACAUGAAUGUAUUGUAAAACGUUUUUGCUCCAAAAUACUACAAUUACCAUAUGAUAGUAAUAAUAAAUAUCUUAAAAGCAACACAGAAUCAUAGAAGAUUUUCGGGAAGGCUAUCCUGAAUACUUAGCAACACAAAAUCACAGAUUUCUGUACCUUCAAACUUUCAAUGACAAUGGAAGCUAACAUAGCAAGCUUAUGAAUUCAUAUAAUAGUGUCUAUAUAUCACAGAAUGACGGUAGCUUUUGUAUUCAUACAUCUAUAGAUUCAUUAAGUGCAAGGAACUUAAGAACACUUUGUUUGGUUAUAAAUAGAGCAGAGAAACAACACAAACCAUACCAACGAUUAGAAAAUCUUCCAAUGGAAUCAAAAAUCACAAAUAUUAUAGAGAAUCAUUUCUUAAUUUCAGCCAAAGAGAGAACAAUAAAGCCUCAAAUUCAUUUCUAGUACUCAAUCAUUUCUUAAUUUCAGCAAUCUAGAGAACAAAAGAAUGUACUAUGAAUUAAACAUAUCAAGUACACCAUUUUCAUCAACAAUGUUUGAAAUACAAGUAUCCUAAAAUUGAUUCACUUAUAGCAAAGCCCUAUGUCACAAAUCGCAGUGAAAAUGACAGUGAUCUAAUCAAUGUCCUAAAUCGGAAUCGAAUUUCACCAAUUAUCUUUCAGCAUUUGUUGAAUCGAAUCAAGUGAAUGAAAGGACUACAGAAACUCGCCGGAGAAGAAUUGGAGAGUGAGGGAAAUUACACAAACUCACCGGAGAAGAAUGAAUCCGACAAAGUCUUCGAAUCUCCGGUGAAGAAAUCAGAUCCGGUGACGACGAAGGUCGAGGUCGACGGCGAAAGUCGAGGUCGACGGCGAAAGUCGAAGUCGACGGCGAAAGUCGAGGUCGACGGAGUUGUCAAGUUUUUCGAAGGUGAAGUUUGUUGGAAGCGAAGCCGUCGGGUGUGGAAGAAAUGAAAUUAGGUUUUAUAAAAUUAGGUUUUGUGUAUUUUCUGUUUUAAUUAAUUAGAGGAUUAAAAACUUUGUGUGCUAUUUUUGGAAGUUU